RNAcentral lists this ribosomal RNA (1051 nucleotides) under uncultured bacterium. RNAcentral's name for it is "bacterial SSU rRNA". It matches the Rfam family "Bacterial small subunit ribosomal RNA", at positions 38 to 1078 of the family's 1533-position model. The record is from RNAcentral.
GGCGGCGUGGCUAAGACAUGCAAGUCGAACGGACCAUUAAUUUAUUGUGGUUAGUGGCGAAAGGGUUAGUAACGGGUAGGUAACGUACCCUGUGCUUCGGGAUAGCGUCAGUAGCUUCGGCUACUUUCCGAAGGGGCGGUAAUACCGGAUAAUAUCAUUUGUCGAUAGGCAUAUGAUCAAAGAUUUAUCGGCAUAGGAGCGGCCUGCCUCCUAUCAGCUUGUUGGUGAGGUAAAGGCUCACCAAGGCAACGACGGGUAGCGGGACUGAGAGGUUGGCCCGCAACAUCGGGACUGAGACACUGCCCAGACCUCCACGGAGGGCUGCAGUAACGAAUAUUGCGCAAUGGGCGAAAGCCUGACGCAGCGACGCCGCGUGUAGGAAGAAGUCCCUCGGGAUGUAAACUACUGUCAGGGGUAAGAAAGUGCGCUUCGGCGCAUUGAUCUAACCCAGAGGAAGUCACGGCUAACUUCGUGCCAGCAGCCGCGGUAAGACGAAGGUGGCAAGCGUUGUUCGGUAUCACUGGGCUUAAAGAGUGUGUAGGCGGAAAGGUAAGCGUUCUGUGAAAGCCCCCGGCUUAACCGGGGAACUGCGCAACGAACUGCUUUUCUUGAGGCAAGUAGGGGUGCAUGGAACUCUUGGUGGAGCGGUGGAAUGCGUAGAUAUCAAGAGGAACGCCAGUGGAGAAAUCGGUGCACUGGGCUUGUCCUGACGCUGAGACACGAAAGCGUGGGGAGCGAACGGGAUUAGAUACCCCGGUAGUCCACGCCGUAAACGAUGCCUACUAGGUUGUGGGAGUUCUGACACUUGCACAGCCGAAGCAAAAGUGCUAAGUAGGCCGCCUGGGGAGUACGGUCGCAAGGCUAAAACUCAAAGGAAUUGACGGGGGCUCACACAAGCGGUGGAGCAUGUGGAUUAAUUCGAAGCAACGCGUAGAACCUUACCUGGGUUUGACAUGCUUGGAUGCUUGCCUGGAAACAGGUUAAGUUACCUUCGGGUGAAACUUGCACAGGUGCUGCAUGGCUGUCGUCAGCUCGUGUCGUGAGAUGUCGG